Molecule: ribosomal RNA, 251 nt
Filed under: uncultured bacterium
Lineage: Bacteria
Description: partial 16S ribosomal RNA
Rfam family: Bacterial small subunit ribosomal RNA
Source: RNAcentral
UACGUAGGGGGCAAGCGUUGUCCGGAUUUAUUGGGCGUAAAGAGCGUGUAGGCGGCUUUACAGGUCCGUUGUGAAAACUCGAGGCUCAACCUCGAGACGCCGGUGGAAACCGUAAAGCUAGAGUCCGGAAGAGGAGAGUGGAAUCCUGGUGUGCGGUGAAAUGCGCAGAUAUCAGGAAGAACACCCGUGGCGAAGGCGGCUCUCUGGGACGGUACUGACGCUGAGACGCGAAAGCGUGGGGAGCGAACAGG